RNAcentral lists this ribosomal RNA (253 nucleotides) under uncultured bacterium. RNAcentral describes it as "partial 16S ribosomal RNA". It matches the Rfam family "Bacterial small subunit ribosomal RNA", at positions 524 to 776 of the family's 1533-position model. The record is from RNAcentral.
UACAGAGGUGGCAAGCGUUGUUCGGAAUUACUGGGCGUAAAGGGCGCGUAGGCGGCCGCCUAAGUCAGACGUGAAAUCCCCCGGCUCAACCUGGGAACUGCGUCUGAUACUGGGUGGCUUGAGUUCGGGAGAGGGAUGUGGAAUUCCAGGUGUAGCGGUGAAAUGCGUAGAUAUCUGGAGGAACACCGGUGGCGAAGGCGGCUUUCUGGACAGAAACUGACGCUGAUGCGCGAAAGCUAGGGGAGCAAACAGG